AAGUCGUAACAAGGUUUCCGUAGGUGAACCUGCGGAAGGAUCAUUAACACGUCUAUACGUACUAACCAACUGUGAUUUUUAAUAUCAUGUCCCCAAUUAAUUUCUGAAAUUAAUUGGACUUGACAAUGAGGGGGAUAAAUAGGAGGAACAAAUUCGUUUGUUCGUCUAAUUUUCUCCCACUUUGUCUUUCACUAACGUUUUCCAUACUCAUUUUCUUUUAGUUGUUUAUAACGUUGAAUUUCCUAUACUUGUUAUAUGUGAUUUUUCGUUAAUUUUUGAAAAUAUUUUUCAAUAUAAAAUAACAACUCUUAGCAAUGGAUAUCUUGGUUCUCGU
This 334-nucleotide unclassified non-coding RNA is filed under the name fungal sp. RNAcentral's name for it is "partial internal transcribed spacer region". The stretch from base 1 to 46 matches the Rfam family "Eukaryotic small subunit ribosomal RNA", at positions 1786 to 1831 of the family's 1831-position model. The record is from RNAcentral. Lineage: Eukaryota; Fungi.